Molecule: ribosomal RNA, 665 nt
Filed under: uncultured Micromonosporaceae bacterium
Lineage: Bacteria; Bacillati; Actinomycetota; Actinomycetes; Micromonosporales; Micromonosporaceae
Description: bacterial SSU rRNA
Rfam family: Bacterial small subunit ribosomal RNA
Source: RNAcentral
CUUUGGGAUAACCCUCGGAAACGGGGGCUAAUACCGGAUAAGACCUUGCCUUGCAUGAGGCUUGGUGGAAAGUUUUUCGGCCUGGGAUGGGCUCGCGGCCUAUCAGCUUGUUGGUGGGGUGAUGGCCUACCAAGGCGACGACGGGUAGCCGGCCUGAGAGGGCGACCGGCCACACUGGGACUGAGACACGGCCCAGACUCCUACGGGAGGCAGCAGUGGGGAAUAUUGCACAAUGAGCGGAAGCCUGAUGCAGCGACGCCACGUGAGGGAUGACGGCCUUCGGGUUGUAAACCUCUUUCAGCAGGGACGAAGCGCAAGUGACGGUACCUGCAGAAGAAGCACCGGCCAACUACGUGCCAGCAGCCGCGGUAAGACGUAGGGUGCGAGCGUUGUCCGGAUUUAUUGGGCGUAAAGAGCUCGUAGGCGGCUUGUCGCGUCGACUGUGAAAACCCGCGGCUCAACCGCGGGCCUGCAGUCGAUACGGGCAGGCUAGAGUUCGGUAGGGGAGACUGGAAUUCCAGGUGUAGCGGUGAAAUGCGCAGAUAUCAGGAGGAACACCGGUGGCGAAGGCGGGUCUCUGGGCCGAUACUGACGCUGGGGAGCGAAAGCGUGGGGAGCGAACAGGAUUAGAUACCCUGGUAGUCCACGCUGUAAACGUUGGGCGC